Neoarius graeffei (lesser salmon catfish) is the source of this 589-nucleotide long non-coding RNA. RefSeq lists it as uncharacterized. Lineage: Eukaryota; Metazoa; Chordata; Actinopteri; Siluriformes; Ariidae. The transcript has 3 exons. The record is from RefSeq and is a predicted model, not a curated record.
GUCAGGGCGUCCUAGCCUGUCUGAAAGCACAUGGACGGGAUGCCUGUUGGACCUGCUCGUGGCUGGGGGACAGACUGGAGAUCGCCUCAAAUCACCACGGGAAGAGCCGAGACGAACCGAGACGUGUUAAUCCAGCGUUCUCUGCUGUUCGCUACACUUCUCUAGAAAGAAUAGCCGGCACAGCAAGACCCAAACUCAAUGUCUGCGAUAAGCUCUAAAGCCGGAAAAGCCCGUUUUCCCCUCCCGACACCGUUAUCGAGGAGGAAACCAUUCAUCAAUUCUAUGCAGAAACACCACAGAUUUCUCUGGGCUCAAACUCAUCUCAGAUGGACCAAAAGACAGUGGAAACAUGUGCUGUGGUCAGAGGAGUCCACAUUUCAGCUUGUUUUUGGGACAACGAGUUCUCCGUGCCAAAGAUAGUCUAUAAGAACGCCUUCUGACCAAAGUGGAACGGACUGAAAUCAUUCUCAUGACUACAGCACAAAGAUCAUUAAAAGGAAUGCAUUCGAAGUGCAAGUACACGUACAACACGAGCUCAUCGUGAGGAGGAGACACGACUCUGGGUGCAUCUAUAAACAAGCGGCAAUCG